Molecule: ribosomal RNA, 286 nt
Filed under: uncultured Glomus
Lineage: Eukaryota; Fungi; Glomeromycota; Glomeromycetes; Glomerales; Glomeraceae
Description: partial 18S ribosomal RNA
Rfam family: Eukaryotic small subunit ribosomal RNA (bases 1-233)
Source: RNAcentral
GCUCUUAAACGAGGAAUUCUAGAAAGCACAAGUCAUCAGCUUGUGCUGAUUACGUCCCUGCCCUUUGUACACACCGCCCGUCGCUACUACCGAUUGAAUGGCUUAGUGAGGCCUUCGGAUUGUUGGUAAAAAACUGUAACAGGUUUUCUGCCGACGAGAAGUUGGUCAAACUUGGUCAUUUAGAGGAAGUAAAAGUCGAACAGGUUCCGUAGUGAACCUGCGGAAGGACAUUACAAUCGUUGCGAAUUCCCCUUUUUUUUCGAUAUUAAACAUCGUCCUUAUAAAA